Molecule: ribosomal RNA, 253 nt
Filed under: uncultured bacterium
Lineage: Bacteria
Description: partial 16S ribosomal RNA
Rfam family: Bacterial small subunit ribosomal RNA
Source: RNAcentral
GACGUAGGGUGCAAGCGUUGUCCGGAUUUAUUGGGCGUAAGGAGCUCGUAGGCGGCUUGUUGCGUCGACUGUGAAAACCCGCGGCUUAACCGCGGGCUUGCAGUUGAUACGGGCAGGCUAGAGUUCGGUAGGGGAGACUGGAAUUCCUGGUGUAGCGGUGAAAUGCGCAGAUAUCAGGAGGAACACCGGUGGCGAAGGCGGGUCUCUGGGCCGAUACUGACGCUGAGGAGCGAAAGCGUGGGGAGCGAACAGG